RNAcentral lists this ribosomal RNA (567 nucleotides) under Streptomyces parvulus. RNAcentral's name for it is "bacterial SSU rRNA". It matches the Rfam family "Bacterial small subunit ribosomal RNA", at positions 39 to 623 of the family's 1533-position model. Lineage: Bacteria; Bacillati; Actinomycetota; Actinomycetes; Kitasatosporales; Streptomycetaceae. The record is from RNAcentral.
GCGGGCGGGGCUGCUACCUGCAGUCGACGAUGACCACUUCGGUGGGGAUUAGUGGCGAACGGGUGAGUAACACGUGGGCAAUCUGCCCUGCACUCUGGGACAAGCCCUGGAAACGGGGUCUAAUACCGGAUACUGACCUUCACGGGCAUCUGUGAAGGUCGAAAGCUCCGGCGGUGCAGGAUGAGCCCGCGGCCUAUCAGCUUGUUGGUGAGGUAAUGGCUCACCAAGGCGACGACGGGUAGCCGGCCUGAGAGGGCGACCGGCCACACUGGGACUGAGACACGGCCCAGACUCCUACGGGAGGCAGCAGUGGGGAAUAUUGCACAAUGGGCGAAAGCCUGAUGCAGCGACGCCGCGUGAGGGAUGACGGCCUUCGGGUUGUAAACCUCUUUCAGCAGGGAAGAAGCGAAAGUGACGGUACCUGCAGAAGAAGCGCCGGCUAACUACGUGCCAGCAGCCGCGGUAAUACGUAGGGCGCAAGCGUUGUCCGGAAUUAUUGGGCGUAAAGAGCUCGUAGGCGGCUUGUCACGUCGGUUGUGAAAGCCCGGGGCUUAAGCCCCGGGUCUU